Photinus pyralis (common eastern firefly) is the source of this 1847-nucleotide RNA transcript. RefSeq lists it as uncharacterized. The record is from RefSeq and is a predicted model, not a curated record. The transcript has 5 exons. Lineage: Eukaryota; Metazoa; Arthropoda; Insecta; Coleoptera; Lampyridae.
AGUAGACCUCCUUCUAAAAUAAUACACUACCUACGAGCAUACUAAUUUUUGAAGGUCUUCAGACUUCGGGAACCCUCCGCAACGUACGCAUUUUCAAAACUAAUAGGAUGCUUUGAUCGAUAAUAAUACAAAUCUAUCAGCGGCAUGUACCAAAUGUUUUACCUAUAUAAUAUCACGUUCUAAGGUAUGGCGAUAUUGAAUAUAAUGAGUGAAGGAUGUAAAUUUUUAUUGUAUGUUUAUCUGCAUACCCCUUUGUAUCGAACUUCCUAUGACAUCGUUUGUCAUAGCUGUGCAAUCUGUACAGGUUUCCUAUCUAAAUGGAUAGCAAUAAAUAAAACUCCUCCUCGAAACCGUUCGAUAGUCAGUUGCGAAGAAAAUGGAGGCUCAAGGUGCGGCCAUCAUCUUUGGCCCAUUGCAGACGGCCUAUGGUAAAUACGCCACAUAUCUAUCACACGUUUAACCAUAUAUUUGUAGAACGAGAACUCCGAACAUAUCUCAAACAAAAAUAUGGAUCUGAAAAUGUUGCUAUUUUACGGGGUCGGGGGGUAAUCCCUGACUCCGUAAAGAUAGAGGAAGGUAGCUUCCUGGGGCGGAGGUUCCAGGUCUUUAAGGACCUGGAACUACAAAACACGUACUGGGUGUUUUAUAUCGAGAAAUGUGCAAUCAUUUUUGCGAGGAGUCGAGAACAAGAAACUACUAUUAUUUUCGGCGGGAUAAACCCAGCGAGGUAUAAAACCACCAUGUAUUACGUUUUAAUUAUAUAUACCUAUGUGUAGAACGGAGCGGGGGAUUUCCAAUUAUGAAUAACAAUGCUGUCAUUAAAAUGGGCGUUGCUGACGUCGAGGCUCUCUUCGACGCAAAUUUUAUGUAAGUAGAGUAAGCGCUUUAAUUGUAAUAAUAAACUUCAAAUCACUAUUUCCGCUGUAAAUAAAAACACCCUACAUUUUGUUUGUUGUUUUUUCCCUGCCCACUCCUGUUCUGGUUAUAGGGAACCUACCUCCGAUAUGGAAUUAUAGGUAAGAAUGAGGGUCCUCGCACCUGUCUCCUGAAAUUACAAUUUCCUACCCUAGUCGCAUCAAUCUAAUAGAGGGAGUCGGAUGAAAAUAUACCUCUAUAUGCAUUACGACGCCAAUAGAUGGCGCCUCCGUAUCAAAUCGCUAUUUCAGCUCUAAAUAAAAACGCUCUACAUUUUGUUUUUGUUGUUUUAUUUCCCUCCCCGCCCCUGUUCUGGUUGUAGGUUAGAAUGGGGCCCCCUUGUGUAUGUCUCUCAAAUGGGGGAGCUACCUCCGAGAUGGAAUGAUAGGUUAGAAUUCUCCUCCCUUGCAUCUCUCUCCUGAACCACUGGAUAGUUCACAUGUUUGCUAUUGUACAAAUGUAUACACGGCCGACUUUAUUCGUAAAUUUCUAACGCAAGAAGUCAAAAUUGCAGUUUCCUAUACGUUAGAUGCGUAUCAUUUUGACGCCACCAAAUAGCCCCUAGCCCCUAUCGGGUUUUUUCCCUGCCCACUCCUGUUCUAGUUAUAGGGAACCUACCUCCGAGAUGGAAUUAUAGGUUAGAAUGAGGGUCCUCGCACCUGUCUCCUGAAAUUACAAUUUCCUACCCUAUACCUAUAUGUCACAUCAAUCUAAUAGAGGGAGUCGAUUGAAAAUAUACCUCUAUAUGCAUUACGACGCCAAUAGAUGGCACCUCCGUACCAUUUAAUAUAUCUAUGAUUUAAUAAUAUUUAGAGGUUCGUUAUAAAUACAACUAUCGAAGCAUUAUAUCAUACAAGUCUAGUUAGCCUAGUGGUUAUGCUAUAGGACUUGUAAUCCGAUGGUUGGCGGUUCGAAUCCGUUCCAUUUAAAAA